UGUGAGUUCCUCCAUUGUUAUCGCAGGUUGUUCGGGGUGCGAGGAGCAAUUUUGUAUCCGCGAGAUUGUGAUUCUAACUAACGAUCGCGAGUUUGCGAGACAGACACACAUUGUAUAGUUAUGUUAUAGUUUGAAAUACGCGUAGAAUGCUGUAUGAUUGUUGAAAUAGUGUUUUAUUUUUUUGUUGUAAAUUUUUGUGUAAUUUUAUAUUAGUGAAACGUAACGAAAAAGCAAGCAAAUAGAAUUCUUACGUUGUUGAAAAUUUGUAGAGAUGCUAAGGAAAAGUGUGUAAGGAAAGUGAAAUAAUUCGAAUUGAGUUUAAACAAAAAGGUAGUGAAGCCACCGCAGUGAAGAAGCGCAAUGAGAAUCGGAAUGUGAAGUGUUUUCGUAUCGCAAAGAAGGGAAUUGUUGUUGAAAGCGAAAGCUAGACCAGAGGAGAAAAAAAUUGAAAACAAAAAAAAACUAGAAAACCAAAUCUCCCUCGCAAAUUUUGAAUUGAUGCGUGCACAGUAAAAUGGCCUCAUCUCCUACGCCAUCGUUAGAAUCGUUACCCGGCGCAUCGAAUUCGAUUGGAUCAUACGGUGAACCCGCGGAAUACCUCUCAGACUCGCCCCUGACGACGCUGAGCAGUUCGGCAGCAGGAUCGUCCCCGCCGGUCAGUGACUCCGCCAUCUGUGACGACUACGUGACGAACUCGAGCCUCGAGUCGGCUCAAUCGAACAGCAAUGAAUCGUUGUUUCCGCGGUGCACCGGUUGCAAGAGCAAACAGUCCGACGCUGUCGCCAAGUGUAUCGAUUGUGUGAAUUUCCUGUGUGCCAACUGUGUUACGGCCCACCAGUUUAUGCAUUGCUUUGACGGACAUUCAGUGUUUCGUAUUGGGAACUCGAGCUCUAGCACGGGAUCAACGACCGGUAUAACGACAACAAUCGCGAACGGCGGAGGCCUGGGUUCGCUGGAGGGAAGCCUUCUGGCCAACAACAUUCUGAACAGCAGCAAAAUAAUGAACGGCUUCGAACCCGCACCGCAUCGCUUGACCUCGCUGAAUCUCACAAUCAAGGAUGACACCAGCAGUCUGGUGAAAUCGAUCAUGAACAAUGUGAUAAGCCCACUGACGACCUCCAACGGGAAUAGUGGCGCAGGCUGUGGCGGUGGAGGAGGAGGAGCUGGGGUUGGCAAUCAUGCCAUAUCCGGUGUGAAUCAACUCAACAGCCAGCUGUCGGGGCUCAACAUGAGCACUGCCGACUUGAAUGCUUCGAACAAGCCAAACUACUUCUGUAAACGUCACACCAACGAGCUGCUCAAGUUCUUCUGUCGAACCUGCAGCGUUCCUGUUUGCAAAGACUGCAUGCUUAUCGAGCACCCGAACGGAGUGCACGAGUGUGACCACAAUCCGGACUCGACCCCGAAACAAAUCGAGAGCCUGCUGCACACCGUCAGCGAAGUACGCGCCAAAGCGACCGAGCUACGCACGCUGAUCAAGAACGUUGAACACAGUGCCCAACGAAUCCAGGUGCAAUACCACAAGGCCCAGAAUGAGAUCACCGACACGCAUCAGUUCUACCGUUCGAUGCUCGACGAACGCAAGGCUGAAUUGUUGAAGGAGCUGGAAAGUUUCUACAAUACCAAGAACAUGUCCCAAUCGGUACUUCUGACCAAGAGUCAGGAUCAGGUCGACAAGGUGCUGCAGAGUUGCGAGUUUGUCGAACGCCUUAGUAAAUGUGCCGGCCUAGCGGAGACAAUCAUGUUACGAAAGUUUAUGGAAAACAAGCUGCUACUCUUCCCGGCCAUCACCCAAGAUCUGCAAUCAUCAUACGAGCUGGAUUUUGUGUCAAACUAUCAGGCGAUCCAGGUGGGCGUGCGCAACACUUUCGGCUAUAUCCGAUCGACCACGGACGUGACAUCGACCACGAACAAGCAGCCUCCGAUCGCUCGGCCUACGUCAAACAAUACGAACGGAAGCAACGGAGUGAUUGGUUCGAACAAUCUCAUCAUGACCAACGGUAAUAGCCCUUCGAGCAGUACCGGUAGCUUGAACCUCAUCCACCAAAACCCACUGAUGGUGAACGGCGGCAACAGCGGUCACCUCAUCGACCGACCCUUCUCGAAUGCGAACGGUAAUUCGGGCAACAGCAUAAACAUGUCCACCUCGCCAUCCCAAACGAACGGCGGUCUCACUUCGUUCGACUCGAACAUAAUCUCCAAGCGCUUCAAUAGCGCCAACAGCUUGGGACCAUUCGUCGGAGACGUCCAACCGCUGCAGCCACUGAACCCGUACGAAAAGUGGAGCAACGGGGGUACCGACAUCUUCAACAACAUCAACGAUCAGUAUACCAUUCCGUUGAACCACAUCCCGCAGGAGUCGAUGAUCGAUCUUAGCACGAAGCUCAUGAACACGUCAAUUUUCCCACCGAAGUCGCAAAUCAAGCGACAGAAAAUGAUCUACCACUGCAAGUUUGGCGAGUUCGGCGUGAUGGAGGGUCAGUUCACGGAACCAAGUGGUGUCGCUGUGAAUGCUCAGAACGAUAUCAUUGUGGCCGACACGAACAACCACCGGAUUCAGAUCUUCGACAAGGAGGGUCGCUUCAAGUUCCAGUUUGGCGAGUGUGGCAAGCGCGACGGGCAGCUACUAUACCCGAACCGGGUGGCGGUAGUGCGGACGUCCGGCGAUAUCAUUGUGACCGAGAGAUCCCCCACGCACCAGAUUCAGAUCUACAACCAGUACGGGCAGUUCGUGAGGAAGUUCGGAGCCAACAUUCUGCAGCAUCCGAGGGGUGUCACGGUGGACAGCAAGGGUCGCAUCGUGGUAGUCGAGUGCAAGGUGAUGCGCGUGAUCAUCUUCGACCAAUCGGGCAAUGUGUUGCAGAAGUUUGGCUGCAGCAAGCAUCUGGAGUUCCCGAACGGAGUGGUGGUGAACGAUAAGCAGGAGAUCUUUAUCAGCGACAAUCGUGCGCACUGCGUCAAAGUGUUCAAUUACGAGGGACAGUUCCUGCGACAAAUUGGGGGCGAGGGUAUCACCAACUACCCGAUCGGAGUGGGCAUCAACGCCAGCGGCGAGAUCCUGAUCGCAGACAAUCACAACAACUUCAACCUGACCAUUUUCACACAGGACGGCCAGCUGGUGUCGGCACUGGAGAGCAAGGUCAAACACGCCCAAUGCUUCGACGUGGCCCUGAUGGACGACGGCAGCGUGGUGCUGGCCAGCAAGGACUACAGACUGUACAUCUACCGGUACGUCCAGGUACCGCCUAUCGGCUUGUAAAGGGACGAGAAAACGCGUGCCAGGGACGCUCGCGGACAGUACGAAUUCGGACGGAGCUCUUCUGUCAGACCAAGGAGAAGUAUGCCGUGCAUGAAACGUGACGAAUAGGAAUAAGUGCUCUGUUUUCCAAAAUCUGCGAUUUUUGCGCAAAUGUGCUCCACAGAAGAAAAAAAAAGACUUUGAUUCAAAACAAAAAGCGUUUAAAAGAAGAAGAAAAAACUUAGAACAACACAUAUUAGAAGCAACUCUAGUCCUCGCCACUGUUCCAGAAAGUGAGUGCGUUCUGCAAGAGUCCGCGUUUUUUGUGCGUGCAUACGAUUGUAUGUGUGUGCGCAUAUCAUGCGGCCGCAAACUCAGAACGCAAACUAACGAAGAAAAUAUCAAACCAAGUUGCAGAUCCCUGCACCGGACUGCGUCUCAACCGCGCGCGCGUAAUCAUCCUUCGCGGGAGAGGAAAAAAUAAGUAUACACAGAGAGGAGCCACGAAAUGACCAAGAACGAAGACGAUGAACCCCGGGCCCCGUUGGAAGUGGCCGAGAACCGGAAGAGCAAGAAGUGAUAGCGGCGUGUAAGGACUUGUGUGCGUGCGCUGCGCUGUGAUGUGACUGUUGAUGUGAUGGGGAAAUAGGCCGUCACGAUAUCUUGGGGCGGCCUCAAAAACCGUUGUGACUGUGUGGAACGCAUGCAGAUUUUUUUUUGUAUUGCCAUGUGACACGCUUCUAUAGCAUCUAGAGAGAGAGAGAGAGAGAGAGAGAGAGAGAGAGAGAUUCGAUGAUGAGCCACAGCAAGAAGAAGAAAACAGAGAGCGAGCACAUGUGCGUUAUCAAUCUGCAAGCCAGCUGUUUAUAUUGUGCUAGACCCCGCUGUUUGCUGCCGGUGGUGUUUAGAUGGGAUGUCAAAUUUGUGCGCGAAAUAAGAACCCAACGAAAGCUCCAACGUGGACAGACAGGCAGAACAUACAAACAAUAAACCGGACGAAAACUUUGAAGACAGCGGAAAAAACGGGAGCAGCGGCGCACAUUUACACAGCACGGGAUGGGAAAAGAAGUCAAGUAAGAACUUUUUUACCGCUCUGAUAAGAAUUUAACGACGAGAAAAUAUUGCGUUUCUCGCCCUAAAAAUAAUACAUACAAAUAAAUACACGGGAGAUUACGAUAACGUAGCGAAGGAAGGAAGGAAGGAAAAACCACACUGCUUUUUUAUACAUAUUAUUAAAACUAUUGUAUUCAAGGUAAAUCAAGGCGCAGUAAAUGAUGAACGCACAGAACGGACAGCAGUCGAACUGUCCGCGGUGCGCUUCGUUUCUCCCGUAGUGUUUGAGAAGAAGAUGAAAAAAAACGAGCAUGACAUGAUUAUCCCUAUUAAAUUAAUGCCCUAUUAUUAGCUAUUGAUUAAUGCGAAUCGAUUUGACUUCUUUACGACUGAACAAUUGUUAUUGCAAGUGGAUAUGAACUUAGUAUCAAGAGCUACGAUUGAUUUUUAAGUGUAGGUACUCUUUGGACAGCCCCUGAAUAUAUCCUAGUCGGGACCGUCCGGUUGUAUAUGUUUCUAUAUAUACCUUUUAAUCAAGCAUAUAAGAGAAAAAAGGAUCAGCAGCGUGUUUUAUUAUCAGGGUAUAUGUUCGUUCACGAAUAAAUCCAAACACACACACACAGACACAAACACAUACACACACGUUCAUUGCGACGAUUAUACAAACCCGCGUGAAAAUGUUAGUUAAGUCAACUACUACUUGAAUUUUAGUGAGAAAGUUGUUUUGUUCGAAUCUGUUCUCAGUGUUUCUUCUUCACUGCGCUAAACUCAUAAGACUCGAAAAUAUCGCUUCCGGCAGUGCUCUCUGGCUAGGCACUUCACGCAAAAACCAUAGGGCCAGAAACGAGGCUCGUUAUAAAUGAAAAUUACCACCCCGAAGGUGGCCAAUUUCCAUUGGUAACUAGACUCAACGGGUGGCCGAACUGGCCGAAACGUCGGUAGCGCUGCCCGCAAACGAUAUUUCCUCAAAACCAUUCGAUCAAAGCUUGAACCUAUCUAAGUCGUCGCCAUUCGGGGCGGAGUCUGCCCACGAAACAGGUGAAACACAGAAUGUUUCUAUUACUUUUACGUUAAUGUACAUCUAGUUCGAUAAGGCAUGAAGCGUGCGCGAGGAAGAGAAGCGCGCGCGCACUCACACACACACACACGAGAAAUGGAAAAUAAUCUAUUAUAUAAUUGGAAAACAAAAGAAGAAGUGAAAAAAACAAAACAAAAAAAGGCAAACUCCCGACAUUGGAACAAAGAUUAAUAAGGCGAAAACAAGUGGAAACAAUUAGACAUUUAAUAGAUAUAUUUAAAAGAAAAUAUUUAGAUAAAUUGUUGAACUGUUUUGUAGCGUUUUACAAUAAACCAAAAUUUAUCUGACAUGAAGAGGAGAAAACAAAGCAAACGGCAAAGUACGCACUGAGGGCAAAUCGGAUAUACUCGGGGUUGAGUUGCAGGCGAACAUCGGGAAUGUAACACACAAAUCAACUCACUCACUCUCCCCUCUUCCUGACAAUCCCCAAAAAAACCGAACACGAAUAGACCCACACUAUUGAACAAAACAAAAACAAACAAACAAACAAACAAACAAAAAACUCUCCCCCCCAUGAAGGAGGUUAAUGUUUAGAUAGCUUUUUUUCAAUUGUCAAUAAUUUAUUCUAAUCAUUACCUAAUUCUUGUUUGGUUUUUUUUUUUUUUACAUGUGUGUACGCGUUUUAUUUUACUCUAGCCAUUAGCCAUUAUUUUACUCUAGCCAUUAGAUUUCGCUUCCUGCGAGCAACGGGCAAAAACAAAUCUUUGCAGAGCACUCACACUAAGGGGAAAGCGCAAACAGUUAAGCUAAGCGAAAACCGCGCCCAAAACCGAAUCACCACCGCCACUGCCGCCGCCGCAGUCAAAUCUGUCGGGCAGAAAGUUUUGCUUUCUUGGCGCAACUGACGCAAAUUUAGAACAAAAAAAAAUUAAACAAACAAAUCGGAGUCUGGCAGGACUCCAGACGAGGGACUGAGAGAGAGAGAGGAAGGGAAGCAGUUUUUCAUUAACCUUACAGUGCAGUAUUAAUAUUUUUUUUGUUUUUGUUUUUUUGUGCUCGUUUACAUUUAGACCUAAGGAGUAAUCCUUUUUAUACUGUAUCCUUUUUUUAUAUAUAUUUUUUUGUCAUAUACCCGUGCUUUAGCCUUUUUUCGACAAAUAAUCACUAUUUGUAGAAAGUAUCUCGUUAAAGUGUAAGGGCCGAGAAAAUUUGUCGUAUUUGUGUGUGUUUUUUUGAUAAUUACUCACUUUUACUCUAGCCGAUAAGCCGUCUCUUUUUAGUUAUCUCAUUUUUAUCGUAUUUUUAUAUAUAAACUAUUAUUAUUUUGACAUAUUAUUAUUGCAUUUAGAAAACGACACAUUUUUAAAUUAAUAUUAUACACCUUUGUUGGUUAUGUUGAUUUUUGUUUUGUUAAAUUAUUACACCUAAGUUUUUGAGUUUAACGAGUUUUGAGAAACUAUACCUUGUGUAAGUGUAAUUGCGAGCCUGAAUGAGAGCGCAACAAAUGUAUAUUUUUUAAAGCAACGAAAUUUGAGCAAUCCAUAAACAAGUAAGAUCCAAACCGAAACACACUAGACAAGCAUUUAAGCAGCAGUGAUGAGAGAAGAAGACGAAGAAGAAGGUGUCCACAGCAAGUUUUGUUUCUAUUUGGUUCAGUCAAAACACGAAAGCGAGCCGACGAAACUUAAAGACACGGCAGAAGAUAUAUGUAGUACCAGGAAAGGGGGAAAUUAAACAAACAAGCAACAACACAAAAAAGGAAGAUAAUUUGUACGAACCGCGCUCUCCCCCGCAGAUUGUUUCGUUGCAGUCGGAGGGAGACGUGUUUCGCCCAGCGGUCUCACCUUUCCUGGCACACAGAAAUUGUUUUGAUUUUUUAUAGAAAUAAACUAGAAAGUUACUUACUUUUUUGAUUAUUUUUUAAUUAUAUACUAUGCGAAGAUUUAUUAACAAAAUGAUUGAAAAAAUCACAAAAAUAAAAAAUGAGUUGUUUAGAUAAAUUGAA
RNA transcript from Toxorhynchites rutilus septentrionalis, 7314 nucleotides. It is a transcript of the gene named protein disks lost, with no coding region annotated. The record is from RefSeq and is a predicted model, not a curated record. The transcript has 3 exons. Lineage: Eukaryota; Metazoa; Arthropoda; Insecta; Diptera; Culicidae.